CGGCGGACGGGUGAGUAAUGCUUAGGAAUCUGCCUAUUAGUGGGGGACAACAUUCCGAAAGGAAUGCUAAUACCGCAUACGUCCUACGGGAGAAAGCAGGGGACCUUCGGGCCUUGCGCUAAUAGAUGAGCCUAAGUCGGAUUAGCUAGUUGGUGGGGUAAAGGCCUACCAAGGCGACGAUCUGUAGCGGGUCUGAGAGGAUGAUCCGCCACACUGGGACUGAGACACGGCCCAGACUCCUACGGGAGGCAGCAGUGGGGAAUAUUGGACAAUGGGGGGAACCCUGAUCCAGCCAUGCCGCGUGUGUGAAGAAGGCCUUUUGGUUGUAAAGCACUUUAAGCGAGGAGGAGGCUACGAGUAUUAAUACUACUGGAUAGUGGACGUUACUCGCAGAAUAAGCACCGGCUAACUCUGUGCCAGCAGCCGCGGUAAUACAGAGGGUGCGAGCGUUAAUCGGAUUUACUGGGCGUAAAGCGUGCGUAGGCGGCUGAUUAAGUCGGAUGUGAAAUCCCUGAGCUUAACUUAGGAAUUGCAUUCGAUACUGGUCAGCUAGAGUAUGGGAGAGGAUGGUAGAAUUCCGGGUGUAGCGGUGAAAUGCGUAGAGAUCUGGAGGAAUACCGAUGGCGAAGGCAGCCAUCUGGCCUAAUACUGACGCUGAGGUACGAAAGCAUGGGGAGCAAACAGGAUUAGAUACCCUGGUAGUCCAUGCCGUANACGAUGUCUACUAGCCGUUGGGGCCUUUGAGGCUUUAGUGGCGCAGCUAACGCGAUAAGUAGACCGCC
Molecule: ribosomal RNA, 782 nt
Filed under: uncultured bacterium
Lineage: Bacteria
Description: bacterial SSU rRNA
Rfam family: Bacterial small subunit ribosomal RNA
Source: RNAcentral